UGCAGUCGAGCGAAUCAAUAGGAGCUUGCUCCUGUUGGUUAGCGGCGGACGGGUGAGUAACACGUGGGCAACCUGCCUGUAAGACUGGGAUAACACCGGGAAACCGGUGCUAAUACCGGAUAAUUCUUAUCAACACAUGUUGGUAAGCUGAAAGUCGGUUUCGGCUGACACUUACAGAUGGGCCCGCGGCGCAUUAGCUAGUUGGUGAGGUAACGGCUCACCAAGGCGACGAUGCGUAGCCGACCUGAGAGGGUGAUCGGCCACACUGGGACUGAGACACGGCCCAGACUCCUACGGGAGGCAGCAGUAGGGAAUCUUCCACAAUGGACGAAAGUCUGAUGGAGCAACGCCGCGUGAGCGAAGAAGGCCUUCGGGUCGUAAAGCUCUGUUGUCAGGGAAGAACAAGUAUCGGAGUAACUGCCGGUACCUUGACGGUACCUGACCAGAAAGCCACGGCUAACUACGUGCCAGCAGCCGCGGUAAUACGUAGGUGGCAAGCGUUGUCCGGAAUUAUUGGGCGUAAAGCGCGCGCAGGCGGUCCUUUAAGUCUGAUGUGAAAGCCCACGGCUCAACCGUGGAGGGUCAUUGGAAACUGGGGGACUUGAGUGCAGAAGAGGAAAGCGGAAUUCCACGUGUAGCGGUGAAAUGCGUAGAGAUGUGGAGGAACACCAGUG
This 674-nucleotide ribosomal RNA is filed under the name Neobacillus drentensis. RNAcentral describes it as "bacterial SSU rRNA". It matches the Rfam family "Bacterial small subunit ribosomal RNA", at positions 56 to 714 of the family's 1533-position model. The record is from RNAcentral. Lineage: Bacteria; Bacillati; Bacillota; Bacilli; Caryophanales; Bacillaceae.